Apis mellifera (honey bee) is the source of this 1435-nucleotide long non-coding RNA. RefSeq lists it as uncharacterized. The record is from RefSeq and is a predicted model, not a curated record. The transcript has 2 exons. NCBI's taxonomy places the organism in Eukaryota, Metazoa, Arthropoda, Insecta, Hymenoptera, Apidae.
AAUACUUAUGUAAAAAAAAAGAUAUAAUGGGGAAACGUAAAACAAUCUGGCUCGUUGCAAAAAAUGUACAUUACGUUUAUUGAUGGUAGCUCGCGAAGCUCCUCGUGAAUAUCGAGUGAUUACAAAGAGGCGCUUGAUUUAAAGGGUCGAGUAAUUUACGAAGCAACACGUGAUACGCUAGUACACGAUCGUUCCGUAAGGACUCAAAUCAUGUCCUUUGUUGCAUUUUUUUUCAUUCCUUUUUUUUCUUUUUUUUUUUUUCUCUUUUUUUUUUUUUAACAAGGAAAAAAAAAGUCCGCUACGGACUAUAGAAAUCGCUAUGACGUCUAUAUCGUUUUUUUCGAUCUCUCGUUUUUUGUCCUCUUUUCAUCAUUAUUAUUUCAUUCCUCCCUGGUCUCGAAUCGAAGAGAUAAGGAGGAAUGAAAAAAACGGAAUAAUAUUGGAUGAACGGGAGAUGAAUACAAUGAAAUAUUAAUAUUUUCAUCCGAUUGAUACAGGCAAAAUGCUCUACGGUAAGGACAGCGACCGUUUAUAUUAGUACUCUGUGUGUGUGUGUGUGGUAAUAUUUAUAUAUAUAUAUAUAUAUAUAUAUAUAUAAUAUAUAUUUCAACGUACAAACUAUAUUGUACCUUAAUAACCUCUAAACGCAAUGGGUACAAGGAUAAUAUUUACACAGCCUAGAACCACUUGACCAGGUCCAGGAUCACGCGAUAUACCAUUUCUUUCAAAGAGGUUCAAAGAUUCGACGACAGUCAAGUCCAACCUAACCUCCUUGUUCUAAGUUGAACGCGCGACAAACGCGCGAUCAUAUUUAACGGUGCGACAAGUAUUUUUCACGUUCCUAUCAACUAGUUAUCAACAUUUAUACAUAAUACAACCAGGUUCCUCGCACGCACGCACUCUCAGCCCCACUCGUAGGAUUGCGUAACGUUUUCUUCGUUUUUUCUUUUUUUUUUUUUCCGUUCGAUUCUCUCGUAACAUAACCCCAUUUCAGCGGAUGGUCGGUUUAAUUCGUGUUAUCGUGUUAAAUAUCAAACAAAUUAUCAUCGCUCAAAAUCUAUCGUGAUAUAUACUCGUCUGAAUGAAAAAUACUUUCUUUUCAAUGAAAUAUUUUUGUGGAAAAAACUCUCAAUCGCUCUCUCUCACUCAGUUACAUAGCUCGAUAAAAAUACCCUGAAGACGUAGACAGAUCAUUAAAUAGAUGAUUACAUAUAAUAUAUAUAUAUAUAAUAAAUGAAUGAACAAUCAAAUGAGAAAAAUAUGAUUUCGAUUUGUACUUUGAAAUGAUACGAAGACAUUUCUCAAAUUCGAUAAAAAUGUUCUUGACGCUGCACAUUCCUACUGUGAUCGGGGUGCACCGCUGUGUUUCUAGAUCUUUUACGUACAAAGAAGCGUUUUUUUGCGCGGAUUCUCAAAUUUGUGUACGGUGAACACU